GGUACGAUGGCCGAGUGGUCUAAGGCGUGUGACUCAAGCGAAAGCUUGCUCUGUAUGUAGAGCACAAGAGUUCUCAUCUACGUAAGUAGGCGUGGGUUCAAAUCCCACUCGUAUCA
This is a transfer RNA of Exidia glandulosa HHB12029, 116 nucleotides long. It matches the Rfam family "tRNA". From Rfam's summary of the family: Transfer RNA (tRNA) molecules are approximately 80 nucleotides in length. Their secondary structure includes four short double-helical elements and three loops (D, anti-codon, and T loops). Lineage: Eukaryota; Fungi; Basidiomycota; Agaricomycetes; Auriculariales; Exidiaceae. The record is from Rfam.